Long non-coding RNA from Oncorhynchus tshawytscha (Chinook salmon), 768 nucleotides. The record is from Ensembl. Lineage: Eukaryota; Metazoa; Chordata; Actinopteri; Salmoniformes; Salmonidae.
AAAAUGAAAAAGGACCUUGGUCAGGGAGGUGACCAAGAACCCAAUGGAGCUCUACAGUUCCUCUGUGGAGAUGGGAGAACCUUCCAGAAGGACAACCAUCUCUGCUGUACUCCACCAAUCAGGCCUUUAUGGUAAAAUGGCCCGACGGAAGCCACUUCUCAGUAAAAGGCACAUGACAGCCUGCUUGGAGUUUGCCAAAAGGCACCUAAAGACUCUCAGGCCAUGAGAAACAAGAUUCUCUGGUCUGAUGAAACCAAGAUUGAAUUAUUUGGCCUGAAUGCCAAGCGUCACAUCUGGAGGAAACCUGGCACUAUCCCUACAGUGAAGCGUGGUGGCAGCAUCAUGCUGUGGGAGACUAGUCCGGAUCGAGGGAAAGAUUAACAGAGAAAAGUACAGAGAGAUCCUUGAUGAAAACCUGCUCCAGAGCGCUCAGGACCUCAGACGGGGGUGACGGUUCACCUUCCAACAGGACAACGACACUAAGCACACAGCCAAGACAAUGCAGGAGUGGCUUCGGGACAAGUCUCUGAAUGUCCUUGCGGGGCCCAGCCAGAGCCCAGAGUUGAACCCGAUUUAACAUCUCUGGAGAGACCUGAAAACAGCUUUGAAGCGACGCUCCCCAUCCAACCUGACAGAGCUUGAGAGGAUCUGCAGAGAAGAAUGGGAGAAACUCCCCUAAUACAGUUUCACACUGGCAACCCCCAAAACCUUGCUACCACCACUGAGAACCACUGAUCUAUAAGUGCAAAACAAAAACACACAAAAGUA